RNAcentral lists this ribosomal RNA (711 nucleotides) under uncultured Staphylococcus sp. Its description in RNAcentral is "bacterial SSU rRNA". It matches the Rfam family "Bacterial small subunit ribosomal RNA", at positions 45 to 739 of the family's 1533-position model. The record is from RNAcentral. Lineage: Bacteria; Bacillati; Bacillota; Bacilli; Caryophanales; Staphylococcaceae.
UGCCUAAUACAUGCAAGUCGAGCGAACGGACGAGAAGCUUGCUUCUCUGAUGUAAGCGGCGGACGGGUGAGUAACGCGUAGGUAACCUACCUCAUAGCGGGGGAUAACUAUUGGAAACGAUAGCUAAUACCGCAUAAGAGAGACUAACGCAUGUUAGUAAUUUAAAAGGGGCAAUUGCUCCACUAUGAGAUGGACCUGCGUUGUAUUAGCUAGUUGGUGAGGUAAAGGCUCACCAAGGCGACGAUACAUAGCCGACCUGAGAGGGUGAUCGGCCACACUGGGACUGAGACACGGCCCAGACUCCUACGGGAGGCAGCAGUAGGGAAUCUUCCGCAAUGGGCGAAAGCCUGACGGAGCAACGCCGCGUGAGUGAUGAAGGUCUUCGGAUCGUAAAACUCUGUUAUUAGGGAAGAACAUUAUGUGUAAGUCACUGUGCACAUAUUGACGGUACCUAAUCAGAAAGCCACGGCUAACUACGUGCCAGCAGCCGCGGUAAUACGUAGGUCCCGAGCGUUGUCCGGAUUUAUUGGGCGUAAAGCGAGCGCAGGCGGUUUUUUAAGUCUGAAGUUAAAGGCAUUGGCUCAACCAAUGUACGCUUUGGAAACUGGAGAACUUGGGUGCAGAAGGGGAGAGUGGAAUUCCAUGUGUAGCGGUGAAAUGCGUAGAUAUAUGGAGGAACACCAGUGGCGAAGGCGACUUUCUGGUCUGUAA